CCUGAAGACACACCUGCCUGGUUCCUGAGGCAGGCAGACAUUAACAGCGACUCAUUGUUGUUCACCAGAGUGAGUCUGUUCACUGCACUCCUCUAAAAAAAGUCCACUUCACAAAGACGGGAGACUCAACCUGACAGAGAGGCGACUCUGAAAGCAAAGGGAAUCAUGGGGAAAGGCGCGAGCGAGGAGUGGGAUGAAAAGCACCACGACACGAGGCAAACCCAGCCCCGGAAACACGAGGAGACGGAGAGCAGGAGCUCCGGGAGCAGCUGCCCCAAAUGCUGCCUGAAGACCCGGGACUGCCUGAUGAGUCCGGAGUGCGGCCGGGCGCUGCAGAUCUCCAGCGUGGUCGCCAUGUGUGGAAUGUGUAUCCGUUGGUUCAUAUAACCAAGGCUUGGACAGCAGCAGCAAUUUUUCUGUGUUUUCCUUGCACAGGAGUCAAGCUGUGUGGUUUUUCUUCCAAUCUAAAGUGGGAAAAUACUCUGUUUCAUUGAUUUGAAGUUCUCUUUAAUCCUAUAUCUGCAAGCUAAUCAACAGAAAUAGAUGUGUUUCUUAGAAGAUGUGUACAUAAACCCAACUAAAAUGGAAAUAUUCCUCUGAAUUCAUCAUUUUAGUGUUUGUGCCAUGCAGAUGUUGUAUAUUUAUAUUUGACAUGUUAUUAAAAAAAUAAAUGAAACUGA
Molecule: long non-coding RNA, 680 nt
Organism: Amphiprion ocellaris (clown anemonefish)
Lineage: Eukaryota; Metazoa; Chordata; Actinopteri; Pomacentridae
Exons: 3
Source: RefSeq, a predicted model, not a curated record